GAUUCCUUGAGCACUUGUUAUAGAGAAGACAGUGUGUAAGAUGCCAGCUGAGGUGGUAACCUCAGUGUCAAAAGAUCCCCAGCAGCAUGAGCAUGUCCAUAUGAUGCCUUUUACCACACUGCGGCACAGCAAGAAGGCCCUCACUGGAUGCAACUCUUUGAUCUUGGACCUCUUGAGGGGUGACAGUGUGCUGGCAGCCCUCACAGCCCUCCGUCGCUCUUGGCACCUCCUCGGCCUGGGCGCCCACUAUGGCAGCACUUGAGGAGCCCUUCAGCCCCCGCCCUGCUGCACUGUGGGAGCCCCUUCCUGGGACGUCUGAGGCCGGAGCUGGCUCCCUCAGCCUGCGGGGAGGUGUGAAGGGAGAGGCACGGGUGGAAACCGGAGCUGCACGCAGUGCUUGCAGGCCAGCUAGAGUUCCGGGUGGGCGUGGGCUUGGUGAGCCCUGCACUCAGAGUGGCUGGCUGGCCCCCGGGCAGUGAGGGGUUUAACACCCGGGCCAGCAGCUGUGGAGGGUGCGCCAGGUCCCCCAGCAGUGCUGGCCCACCGGGGCUAUACUCGAUUUCUCGUGGGUCCUUAGCUGCCUCCACACAGUGCAGAGCUCAGGACCUGCAGCCUGCCAUGCCUGAGCCCCCCAGCCCCCACUCCCGCCGUGGGCUCCUUCACUGCCCGAGACUCCCUGAUGAGUGCUGCCCCCUGCUCCAGGGCGCCCGGUCCCAUCGACCACCCAAGGGCUGAGGAGUGUGGGCUCACUGCGGGGGACUGGCAGGCAGCUCUACCUGCGGCCGGGUUUGGGAUCUACUGGGUGAAGCCAGCUGGGCUCCUGAGUCUAGUGGGGACUUGGAGAACCUUUAUGUCUAGCUAAGGGAUUGUAAAAACACCAAUCAGCACUAUGUGUCUAGCUCAAGGUUUGUAAAUGCACCAGUCAGCACUCUGUGUCUAGCUCAAGGUUUGUAAAUACACCAGUCAGCACUCUGUAUCUAGCUAAUCUAGUGGGGACUUGGAGAACUUUUGUGUCUAGCUCAGGGAUUGUAAACGCACCAAUCAGCACCCUGUCAAAACAGACCAAUCAGCUCUCUGUAAAAUGGACCAAUCAGCAGGAUGUGGGUGGGGCCACAUAAGAGAAGAAAGGCAGGCUUCCAGAGCUGGCAGGGGCAACCCGCACAUACCUUUUCACAGUGUGGCAUGUUUGUUCUUUUGCUCUUUGCGAUGUAGCUUGCUGCUGCUCACUCUUUGGGUCCACACUGCCUUUAUGAGCUGUAACACUCACCGCGAAGGUCUGAAGCUUCACUCCUGAAGCCAGCGAGACCACGAACCCACCGGGAGGAAUGAACAACUCCAGACGCGCCGCCUUAAGAGCUGUAACACUCACUGCGAAGGUCUGCAGCUUCACUCCUGCGCCAGCGAGACCACACACCCACCAGAAGGAAGAAACUCCUAACACAUCCAAAUAUCAGAAGGAACAAACCGGGGACAUGACGCCUUUAAGAACUGUGACACUGCGAGGGUCCGCAGCUUCAUGCUUGAAGUCAGUGAGACCAAGAACCCACCAAUUCUGGACACACUCUCAGCCUUUAGAAUCGUAAUCAGUAAAUUUCUGUUCUUUAUAAAUU
This 1610-nucleotide long non-coding RNA is filed under the name Pan troglodytes (chimpanzee). Its description in RNAcentral is "lincRNA". The record is from RNAcentral. Lineage: Eukaryota; Metazoa; Chordata; Mammalia; Primates; Hominidae.